This 19-nucleotide microRNA is filed under the name Echinococcus granulosus. Its description in RNAcentral is "egr-miR-10289-3p". The record is from miRBase by way of RNAcentral. Lineage: Eukaryota; Metazoa; Platyhelminthes; Cestoda; Cyclophyllidea; Taeniidae.
UCCCUUCCGCAUUUAGCCC